AUGGACAGUGGCGGCCUACGCCGCCGCCGCCUCAAACCAAGCGGCGCCAUGGAGGGGAAGAGUUCCGCGAAGAAGAAGAAGGUGAGGACGACCAACCCUCCGGCUGAGGAGGCAGUGACGGCGGCGGCGGCCAGCCUCCUGACGGAGGAUCUCAUUUUGGAGAUCCUCUCCCGCCUCCCCGCCAGGUCCGUCCACCGCUUCAAGUGCGUCUCCCCGGCCUGGCGCGACCUCAUCGCCGACCCCGCCCACCGCAAGAAGCUGCCCCAACCCCUCGCCGGUUUCCUCUACAGCACCUACCACGGGCCGGACCACCGCUUCUACAACUUUCACUUCGCCAAAGUCCCCGGCGGCGCAGCCCAGCCGGUCGACCCGUCCCUCUCUUUCUUGCCGUCCCACGAGUACUGGUACGUCGACCAGCUGGACACCUGCAAUGGCCUCCUCCUCUGCCGCGCCCACAAGUUCCCUUCUUCUCCUUCCGGGGACGACGAUGAUCCGCUUGAAUACCAUUACAUCGUUUGCAAUCCGGCCACCGGGAGGUGGGUUGGCAUCCCCGCACUCCCGCCGGUGCCAGCCGGCCGCCGCAUCAUCGCGCGUUUGGCUUUUGAUCCAGCAGUCCCGUCCCAUUUCCACGUUCUUCAGUUUGAGGACACCGAACAGGAUAAAUACAUCACAGGAGUGACCAUCUACUCUUCGCAAACCGGAGCCUGGAAUUACAGAGAAAGCCGCCUUCCUGAGAAAAUUAGCCUGUUCGCUGGCCUUACAAGCGUAUUCUUCCAAGGCAUGCUGCACUUGUAUGGUUUGCUGUAUCCCGUGAACACGGACUAUGAUGCUGUGCUGGUAGCAGUGGACAUGGAGGGGAAGGUGUGGAAGACUAUCGGUGUGCCAUCAGGUGGUUUGAGUUUUGGUUUGAUCGGAGUGUCACAGCGGUGCUUGCACUAUGCUGCCACACCGCUAGCUCCUGACGACAAGAAGAAGAAGAAGAAGAGGAAGAAGAAAACGGAUGAGGAUACAACAACAGUCUGGUACAUGAAGGAUUAUGAUAGUAAAGAAUGGGUCCUGAAGCAUAGUGUCAGCUACGAUGAGUUGCGGAGCAUGACUGGUGGGGAGUACAGGGUGGCCGCUUUUCAUCCAGACUGCGACACCAUUUUCUUGGAUUCGUUUGAUGCUGAUACGUUGUCAUCAUACGAUAUGCAGCAUCGGAAAUUCCAUCGGAUCCGUAGUCUUCGGAAAAACAAGGCAGCGAUAUUUUUACCAUAUGUUCCAUUGUUCUCGGACUCAUUUGCAGGUGUAGAUCGACAGUAG
RNAcentral lists this ribosomal RNA (1302 nucleotides) under Triticum aestivum (bread wheat). Its description in RNAcentral is "partial small subunit ribosomal RNA". The record is from RNAcentral. Lineage: Eukaryota; Viridiplantae; Streptophyta; Magnoliopsida; Poales; Poaceae.